Molecule: ribosomal RNA, 3153 nt
Filed under: Triticum aestivum (bread wheat)
Lineage: Eukaryota; Viridiplantae; Streptophyta; Magnoliopsida; Poales; Poaceae
Description: partial small subunit ribosomal RNA
Source: RNAcentral
AUGGACAUCGAUGGUGUGAUUCCAUGUUCCAUAGAGAAGUGGAUAAGUCUCGUUGAACAAUUUACCACCGCUCAGCGAUUUAGGAAUAAAUCCGCCGACGAUGAAUUUCUUCGGACGGCUGUUCUUGUUUUGCUGGGGACCAUUAUUGCGCCCAUGUCGGUUGUCUCCAUACCAAAUGAGUACUACGCGUUGGUGCAUGACGUGAAGCGGAUAAGCACGUUGAAUUUUAAGGUGUUCACUUUGCGAACUUGUUUGACGGAGAUUGGUAAACUCAAGCAGGACGGCCGUUACUUAUAUUGGGAGAAGGUGCAGCCAACCACCGGCCCGAAAAAUGACCCGUUGUCGUUGCAAGUUCCCCUAAUGAAAAAUUGGACUGAAUCUAAAGCGGAGAAACGAGACAAGUACGACCUGGAAAAUAGUCAUGGCCAUGGAUUGAGAUUGUUAGAGAAAAUGAAUAAAACAGGUGUACGGUACAAACCGGGCACAAUGGCAGAGGAGGAAGAAAAUCUGUAUGGACAGAAUAGUGAGUCCAGUACUGGUCACUUGAGUAGCUUUAAAGGUGAGAAGGAGGAUCCUAUAGAUGUCCCGGAGCAGUCAGAAAAAAAAGAAGCAUCAUCUCUAAAAACCGAUGAAAUAGAAGCUACAAGAUGGCAAGUACAACAAAAUGAGCAAGAAGUGUCACAGGCCGUAUCGGAUGAACCGUUUAAUGAAACAACCCCUCAAUUUGACCAUUCUGUGGAUCAUAUGGUGCGUGCCGCUGUGCAGUACGUGAAAGCGUACGAGCACUCACCAAAACAUAAUGUGGUAAAGAUGAUGGACUUUCUGUGGCAAGAGUUUGCCAGAUACUUAACCAUGCAUGGAUAUCCGGUAAUUGACGCUUAUGCGACGUACAUAUCGGAUUCAAGUAUCAUCAAAGAUAGGAACUCAUGUGGACUGUUCGUCCUUCGCUGUUUUCAAUACUGGGACGGAGAAAAAUUCAUUACUGCUAUUUCUCAUAUGGGUACAUUUUUAGAAUAUAUUGAUAGUUCGAGAGAAAGAAUGAUAGCUGGAAUUAUUAUGUCCCCUGAAAAUAAGCUUACAGAAGUGAAGAACAAAACAAUAUCUGACAGGCGAGCGCCACGCGCGCCGGGCGAGGCGAGCGUCGCCCGAGCCGCACGUUCGUCGCUACAUGGCGCACGUGGCCCGCGUCAUCUGGCCAGCAGGCCCGCGCCGCGCGUCGCCCCAGGGUUGGCCGUUGCUGGCCCCGAAGUUGAUUCUGCAUCGGCCCUUGUCGCCCCUCUGCGCCCGAGGGCGGCGUCAGCCUCGGGAUCGCCCUUCGCGGCUGGAUCGUCCUCGUACGUGCGCCCCGAAUCCUCCUCGUACUGCCGGAGAUGGCGGCGGCGGCGGCGGCGCGAGAGGAGGCGGGUGAGGCGUCUUGAGGAUAGGGUUCGCCUAUCGUUUUUUAAUCACUCCGGCGUACGCUGCGGGCGCGGGCGGGCGUGCAUGCGGACGUGGGCGCGUAUGGGCGGACGUGGGCGCGUACGGGCGGCCAUACGGGACAGCGCCGUACGGCGACGCAUGCGCGCCUACGGCGGGCGGUUAGGUGGUGAUGCUUCUGCUAGGCGACGUAGGGAGGAGUUGGGCAAGCGGCCCGUUGAUUCUACACUUGGUGGCCCUUUUUGUGCGGCGGAGUCGUGUGGACGUGAUUCGGUUGCUGCUACUGGCUGUUUGUCUGAUAUAGAGUCUGUGCUUGGUUGCAUGGGUCAUGCACAUUGGUUUGUGUGCAUGCGUCAACAUGUGUUUGGUGUUGUUAGUUGCACCCUGUUGGGUACCCGCGUGUUUGCAUGCAUGGCGCAUGCACGUGCGCCCGGUGCCGAUGGGUGUGGUGUACCCGUGCGCCUGCUUGCAUGGCGCAUGCGCGUGGGCAUGGUGCUGAUAGGUGCACCCGGUUGUGUACCCGUCAGUUUACGUGCAUGGCGCAUGCAUCUGUGUGGGCUGUCGUUGAUCGUGUAUGCUUUUGAUUCGCUGCGGUUUACUGCUAUUUUUGAGGGGUCAAACAUGCAGUUCGUCAGGCCAAUAAAAUUUGUUGUUUGCAUCUUGAUCCUGUGUUUGGCUUUCGAGUACUUUGGUUCACCUGAGCAUGGUACAUUGAUCAUACCUUACCACAUGCAGGACGAGGCUCCCUCGCAUGGUUCGCCGCCCGCCGCCGUCCCCAGCCGCCCUGCUCCGCUGUUGCCCCUCCCUCCGCCUGCCUCGCCCCUGAUCCCCCAAGCGAGCCACCGUCCUCCUCUCCAACCCCGGCCUCCACUCCACCGCGCACCGCCGGCGACGACUCCUCUCCCAGGCCACGGAUCCACCCGAGCAGCCGAGGCAGCGGUCAGAUCCGCCCGCCCUCCUUCACUCCAUAUUCACGCUGGAAACCCUAGCCACCCGACCAUGCCGAACGACCGCAGGCACGAGGAAUCUGCUGCUCCCCUCCUCCUCCAACGGUGGUAUGAUAGCAAUCCCGUACCCCCUCCUCCUCCUCCUCCUCCUCUCUCUCCGUCUGACCCCCGUCUUAUCUCAUCUGUACAGGUAGUCAGGAAGGAGGUACAGUACAGCCAAGGGAGGGUUCUCCUCUUGGAUGUCCAAUUUAGGCACAAUAGAGAAAAGUUUGUCCGCGUCGUGGUGAGGUGGAGAGCCAAAAUGCAUGAAGCUUAUGACAUGGGUGAAGGAGAUGAAAGCUCUAGGCAAGUAGGGAGUACCACAAGAUCUGACUCACCACCAUCUGAUCUAGGCACUGUCCGGCCGAGUCAGGUUAUUUUACAGUACCUAAGUGUUUAUACUGUUGCUGCAUCUGAAAUGGCAUGUUGUGGUGCUUCACGACGCUGUGAGAAGAUGAUCGAGGGUCAGCGGCACGGGUGCUUCGUCGUCAUCUUCAAUGAGUCCAAAUGCAACUCAAAAGAGAAUUCUGAAGCUGAUGAACUUGGAUGGCCUGACAGUCUACCAUACCAACCGACAUCUCCAUGUAAAUGGUGGCGGCUAGGUGAGCGGGCAGAGUUGAGGGAGGGCGGCCAGCUGCCUGGCGGGUGCGCCGGCGAGCACAACGUGAAAGAGCCUGACAGCCUGUCCACUACCAGCUUAGUUGCUGACUCUUUGAUUGUCGUGCUGCCCCGUGCAAUGGCCAGCUGGUGA